RNAcentral lists this ribosomal RNA (460 nucleotides) under uncultured bacterium. Its description in RNAcentral is "partial 16S ribosomal RNA". It matches the Rfam family "Bacterial small subunit ribosomal RNA", at positions 338 to 795 of the family's 1533-position model. The record is from RNAcentral.
CCUACGGGGGGCAGCAGUGAGGAAUAUUGGUCAAUGGACGAGAGUCUGAACCAGCCAAGUAGCGUGAAGGAUGACUGCCCUAUGGGUUGUAAACUUCUUUUAUAUGGGAAUAAAAUGUUCCACGUGUGGGAUUUUGUAUGUCCCAUAUGAACAAGGACCGGCUAACACCGUGCCAGCAGCCGCGGUAAUACGGAGGAUCCGAGCGUUAUCCGGAUUUAUUGGGUUUAAAGGGAGCGUAGUGGGAUUGUUAAGUCAGUUGUGAAAGUUUGCGGCUCAACCGUAAAAUUGCAGUUGAAACUGGCAGUCUUGAGUACAGUAGAGGUGGGCGGAAUUCGUGGUGUAGCGGUGAAAUGCUGAGAUAUCACGAAGAACUCCGAUUGCGAAGGCAGUUCACUGGACUGCAACUGACACUGAGGCUCGAAAGUGUGGGUAUCAAACAGGAUUAGAUACCCCAGUAGUC